This 759-nucleotide ribosomal RNA is filed under the name Macrostylis sp. ML08. RNAcentral's name for it is "bacterial SSU rRNA". It matches the Rfam family "Eukaryotic small subunit ribosomal RNA", at positions 52 to 768 of the family's 1831-position model. The record is from RNAcentral. Lineage: Eukaryota; Metazoa; Arthropoda; Malacostraca; Isopoda; Macrostylidae.
UGCAUGUCUGAGUACAGACCGAUCUAAGGUGAAACCGCGAAUGGCUCAUUAAAUCAGUCGUAAUUUCUUGGAUAGUGAAAAACUUUCCUCGGAUAACUGUGGAAAAUCCAGAGCUAAUACGUGCAACUGAGCUCCGACCUGGGCGCRAGCCUUGGGAAGAGCGCAUUUAUUAGAUUCAAAACUGACCGGCGUACUCCUUCGGGAUACGUCGUUCGUCAAAUGUUUGAUGACUCCGGAUAACUUAGCCGAGCGCUACGGUCUUUAGUACCGGCGCCGUAUCUUUCAAGUGUCUGCCUUAUCAGCUUUCGAUUGUAGGUUAAACGCCUACAAUGGCUGUAACGGGUAACGGGGAAUCAGGGUUCGAUUCCGGAGAGGGAGCCUGAGAAACGGCUACCACAUCUAAGGAAGGCAGCAGGCACGCAAAUUACCCACUCCCAGCCCGGGGAGGUAGUGACGAAAAAUAACGAUGCGAGACUCUUCCGAGGCCUCGCAAUCGGAAUGAGUCCAUCCUAAAUCUUUGGACGAGGAUCCAUUGGAGGGCAAGUCUGGUGCCAGCAGCCGCGGUAAUUCCAGCUCCAAUAGCGUAUAUUAAAGUUGCUGCGGUUAAAAAGCUCGUAGUUGGACUUUCUAGAUCCAUUUCGUGGGUGGGUCGCUCGUUGUACUGGCGAUUCGCGCCAGUCACUGGUCGACGUCGUGCGGAGAGUCGUACUUYUACUAAGUUGGCUUUACGGCUUUCGAUAGGGGAGACUUCCCUCUCUC